CGUAACAGCUCACUAGUCAAGAGAUCUUGCGUGGAAAAUGUAACGGGGCUCAAGUAUAUUACCGAAGACAUGGAUUUGUAAUUUAUUACAAGUGGUAGAGGAGCGUUCCUCUCUGCAGUGAAGCUGGACUGGAAAGUCUGGUGGAGCGUGAGGAAGUGAGAAUGCUGGAAUGAGUAACCAUAAGACAGGUGAGAAUCCUGUCGGCCGAAAGAGCAAGGUUUCCUGGGCGAUGAUAAUCAUCCCAGGGUUAGUCGUGCCUAAGCCGAGGCGUUUAAGCGUAGGCGAUGGACAACGGAUUAAUAUUUCCGUACCGGUAACACUUUGUACACUAUUCACGGCAUAUUAGUCAGAGCGGAUUCAUGGUUAUAUCCGUCUAAGCAGUGUAACGGCUGCGAAUGCGAGUGCUCCUUUUAGGAGCGCGAGUCUGGCGAAGGUGCUGGCAAGAAAAGUAGUUGUACGCAUGGGUGUUGCCGCACGUACCGCAAACCAACACAGGUGCUCAGGUCGAGUAGACCAAGGCUUACGAGAGAACCUUCGCUAAGGAACUCGGCAAUACAGCGACCGUAACUUCGGGAUAAGGUCUGCCCUGUAUGCCGCUUUGUUUCUAAAAGCGUUAGUGUUUUAGUAUAUGUCCCUUGUGACAUUACUAUACCUUUUUAAACACAUCGAAUCUAAUAACUGAGAUAAGACAUAUAGAACAUAUGAAAAAAGCUUUUAGCGAUAGAGCGGCAUACAGGGCCGCAGCUAAGGAGCCCACGGAACUGUUUAUCAAAAACAUAGGUCUCUGCUAACACGAAAGUGGAUGUAUAGGGGCUGACUCCUGCCCAAUGCUGGAAGGUUAAGGGGAGCGCUUCACGGUGCGAACUGAAGCCCUAGUCAAUGGCGGCGGUAACUAUAACCGUCCUAAGGUAGCGAAAUUCCUUGUCAGGUAAGUUCUGACCCGCACGAAUGGAGUAAUCAUGUGGGCACUGUCUCAGCGAAGGACUCGGUGAAAGUGCAUUGGCGGUAAAGAUGCCGUCUGUCCGCACCAGGACGAAAAGACCCCGUGGAGCUUUACUAUAGCUUUACAUUGAAUCGGGUUACAACAUGUGUAGCAUAGGUGGGAGCCUUUGAAGCAGAUGCGCCAGCAUUUGUGGAGGCGCCGGUGAAAUACCACCCUUGUUGUGAUUUGAUUCUUACCUUGACCGUUAUCCGGUUAGGGGACAGUGUAUGGUGGAUAGUUUAACUGGGGCGGUUGCCUCCUAAAGAGUAGCGGAGGCGUUCAAAGGUUGGCUAGCUUCGGAUGGAAAUCGAAGUGAUAGUGCAUACGCAAAAGCCAGCUUGACUGUGAGGGCCACAACCCGAUCAGACACGAAAGUGGGAGUAAGUGAUCCGCUGUUAGUACAUUUGUACAUGAACGUGGGAUCGACAGCGCAAACGGAUAAAAGUUACCCCGGGGAUAACAGGCUUAUAGCGCCCAAUAGUUCACAUAGACGGCGCUGUUUGGCACCUCGAUGUCGGCUCAUCACAUCCUGGAGGGGGAGCACCUUCCAAGGGUUCGGCUGUUCGCCGAUUAAAGUGGUACGCGAGCUGGGUUCAGAACGUCGUGAGACAGUUCGGUUUAUAUCCGGUGUGGACGUCAGGAAAUUUGAGAGGAUCUGCUCCUAGUACGAGAGGACCGGAGUGGACGAACCUCUGGUGUAUCGGUUGUCCUACCAAGGGCAUUGCCGAGUAGCUAUGUUCGGACCAGAUAAGCGCUGAAAGCAUAUUAAGCGCGAAACUGACCUUAAGAUUAGAUUUCCCUAUGAGGACACAGAUAGACUAUCUGUUUGAUAGGCGCAAGGUGGAAGUACGGUAACGUAUGGAGCCGAAGCGUACUAAUAGUCCCAUUGCCUUUUUAUG
This 1881-nucleotide ribosomal RNA is filed under the name Candidatus Saccharimonadota bacterium. RNAcentral's name for it is "bacterial LSU rRNA". It matches the Rfam family "Bacterial large subunit ribosomal RNA", at positions 1133 to 2925 of the family's 2925-position model. The record is from RNAcentral. Lineage: Bacteria; Candidatus Saccharimonadota.